This 286-nucleotide long non-coding RNA is filed under the name Elaeis guineensis (African oil palm). RNAcentral describes it as "long non-coding RNA (EGUI_LNC001915)". The record is from RNAcentral. Lineage: Eukaryota; Viridiplantae; Streptophyta; Magnoliopsida; Arecales; Arecaceae.
UGGCAGUUGAAUCGAAUCGACACUAGCCUCCUCUACCGGCCUGAUGUCCUCUCUAUUAUCUUUUCUCUUGCUCCACCUCUUACACCAUUGAUGAGCGUCUUAUUAGCGACAGCAACAAUGACAUUACCUAUUGAUGAUGCUCAUGCCUUUGCAUCGGACCUUAAGGAGAUCAUCCAUGCCCCAUGCCUCAAGGAGGCGGACUGGCUCCAAUGGUAGGCAGAGUUAUAGGUGGAGCGAAAGAAGAAAAUCGGAAAAAAAAAUAUGUGAACCAAACAUCUUUUCUAUC